RNAcentral lists this ribosomal RNA (527 nucleotides) under uncultured bacterium. Its description in RNAcentral is "bacterial SSU rRNA". It matches the Rfam family "Bacterial small subunit ribosomal RNA", at positions 777 to 1304 of the family's 1533-position model. The record is from RNAcentral.
AAUAGAUACCCUGGUAGUCCACGCCGUAAACGGUGGGCGCUAGGUGUGGGGGACUUUCCACGUCCUCUGUGCCGUAGCUAACGCAUUAAGCGCCCCGCCUGGGGAGUACGGCCGCAAGGCUAAAACUCAAAGGAAUUGACGGGGGCCCGCACAAGCGGCGGAGCAUGUGGCUUAAUUCGACGCAACGCGAAGAACCUUACCAAGGCUUGACAUGCAGGGAAAUCUCGUAGAGAUACGGGGUCCGCAAGGGCUCUGCACAGGUGGUGCAUGGUUGUCGUCAGCUCGUGUCGUGAGAUGUUGGGUUAAGUCCCGCAACGAGCGCAACCCUUGUCCUAUGUUGCCAGCGAGUAAUGUCGGGGACUCAUAGGAGACUGCCGGGGUCAACUCGGAGGAAGGUGGGGAUGACGUCAAAUCAUCAUGCCCCUUAUGUCUUGGGCUGCACACAUGCUACAAUGGUCGGUACAAAGGGCUGCGAGACCGCAAGGUGGAGCGAAUCCCGAAAAAGCCGGCUCAGUUCGGAUUGGGGU